Molecule: unclassified non-coding RNA, 2860 nt
Filed under: Hevea brasiliensis (rubber tree)
Lineage: Eukaryota; Viridiplantae; Streptophyta; Magnoliopsida; Malpighiales; Euphorbiaceae
Source: RNAcentral
UUUAAUAAUUAUAAAAUUCAUUAUCGAAAUCGAGUUUACAUUAUAGAUACACCAAAAUUCCAAAUUGAAAAGAAGUCUUCACACACCCUAUUAUAUUCAUAAACCCUAAUGUUUCCUUCACUCGGUUGAUUCCCAUGAUAAUGUGCAAAUGAUCAAGCAACAACCUUGGAGAGAUUAUAACCACUUGGGCAAAAUCCAGCCCUCAGCUGGUGCCUGGUUGGUGGUUUUCAGAAGUCUUGAUCUGAUUCGACUGCCUUAAGUUCGAUGGUUGAAUGUCGCAGAAGAGAAUAUUGUUGAGCAGCUCCAGGGUUAUCUUGUGAUGAUUCAAUUCAGGCUAUAAACAAGAAAACGCGUAAUUCUGGAGAUGACUCUAGUCGAUCUUAUUAAGCACAAUCAACUGCAUCCCAGGAAAGUGGGGUGCAGGUAGCCUAGUAUUGGCUAUCAUUAUCAAUGGAAUCAGAUUGAAGAAAGUUUGAUGAUGGGGACUCUCUCAUGUCGCCUGAAUUGAUGCUUUGGAUCUUUGAGCCUACCGCGUGUUGCUCGUUUCAGAGUUAAUGUUCUGAAUGACUGCAUCCUUAGAACUUAAUGAAGGAGCAGAACCAGAGCGCAUAAGUUCCACGGGCGUGGCCUCUCCAGAAGUAGCAGAUACAGGAACUGCAUAAGUGGAAGGCCAUCCAGCAAAAGGAAUGAACGGUACCAGUGACAAUGGCAUAGGUAGUACCUGACGUGCAGGAAACCCAAGCAUAGCUGAGUUUGAGAAUAUCGCUGGGCUGCAACCAACACCCAUAGGCAUUCUCAUAGCCAUUCCUAACCCCAUGGUGGAGAAAUGAGCAAAAUUUGUUGCCUGCAUCUGUAUGUGUUGCAUUCCAGUUGGUACAAUCAUUGGAGGCAUACAAAACCCGGUUCCCUGUGACAUUACCUGUAGUUGAAGCUCAAGGGUCUUCAGAUACUCAAUUGCCUGGUCAAGCAUUGAAGCUAUAUCCACCUUCGGACCACAUAGAGCAAAAGAUGAGCAAAAAUUUUUUUCGGGGAACAGGAGAAAAAAAAACAGAAAAAAAAUUUUUUCUCUUUAAUCAUGUACAUGGCAAUAUAUACCUUGCUGGAAUUAGGUAUGAGAGCUUGCAAUGCACGCAUCUUCUUGGUGAUCUUAUCUCUUCUUUUCUGUUUGAUACGAUUUAGAAGCGCUUAGUUAGGUUUUCUUUUCUUUUCUUUUGGUGGUGGUGGUUAGUUCGUUUAAAAUAAACUCACCCUUUCAGACUGUUUAUGAACUUCUGAACGUCUUCUUUUGGCACCUGCACGAGCAGCCGCUGGUUUUGGCACUUGUUGAUCUCCCUCAGCAAUCUGUAGCAAAAACAUCAACGUUCGUAGUACAUCAUAAAAUAGGAAACAAAAAGACGAGCUUUAUGAAGUCCUAUCAUACUUCGCUUGGAGACGCCAUCAUUUCCUCGUCUUUAUUUUUCCUCCUCAAAGAAGAAUAACUUAUAUCAUUUGAAGCCCCCCGAGAGCAUAUUGAAGUAGCCGCAGCCAAUUGAUCUUUAGAUUUUUCUCUAUCAGGAUUUCCCUUUACCGUAUUUGCUGGUAAGCUUGAGGUUGAACUAGGAAAUAAUUGGUCUUCGAAACGCUUGCUUUUAAUGGCAUUUUUUUGGACAGGGGCUUCGGAUAGCUCAUCUGGGGGUGACUCGUCCGAAGGAUUACCAAUCUGCUGUGUCUGGUCUGUUUUAAUUGUGACUAGAUCUUGAUGUUUAUGGAUAUCUUUAGCACUUGUUGAACCAAUUCCUGGCUCCAGUGCUAGUGCUUUGUCACCUGCAGGAGUUUUAUCCUUGUUGCUUUUUAAAUCCUGAACUCUUAAUGAACUUGGACCACCUGCAGAUUCUGUUGCACCUUGGUGCUGGUCAUCGGCUUUGGAGAGCACUCCAGGUGUUAAGAAUAGGGAGAAGUUCCUUAACCCAAAAUCUUUAUCAGGUCUUGAAUUAAGCUGCUGCAAAUUAGAGUUGGGCAAUCUACCCAUUGAAGACAUAUUUAGGCUUCCAAUCGCAAUUGAUCUACUAAUUGAAACUGAGGCGUGGCAUUGCUGCAAAGAAGACUCAUGUAACUGUCCAUUCUUAGCUGUUGUAAGCUGUGGAAUUUCCACUGGAGAUGCAUUAUUUUCCAGCUUCAAACUUUCGUCUUUGCAUUCGGGUACUAUUUGAGACUCUGCGAGAUACUCAUCAUAAGUUUUAUUUCGGGGUGUUUCCAGACAAAAAUUGAAAUUGUUUUUGUAGAAACCGGGAAACAGGUGAUCAGAAUGGUGAUGAUCUUGUACAGAACGCUUAUGCUUGGAGAGUUCCUUACGAUCUGGAAGAUCCGUCAAAGGAGAAUCAUCCAAAUCCAGCACAGAAUUCUCAGUUCCCAAUCUUGGUCCCUUUGAAGUGUAGGUUUCUGCGGUACGAGUCUUAGCUUGAGGUUCGGUAGAGUGAAGAGAAGAGUAAGUGAUGCAUGAUGGACUAUUGGACCGUCCACGCAUCAGAAUCUGACCAUUUUCCCAUACCAAUUCCACAAACUUAUCAGCCAUGGAAGCUAAAUUUGCCAAAACACGACCGGUGGUGAUCCUAAAAUGGGUUGAAAUUGAUACAGGCUUUCGUCUGUGAUUGAGAUGAACAGGUUAUAUGUUUUUCAGAAAUAGUAAAUAAACGGACGAAAAUUUUCUCAGUUAGAUUAUCGUUACAGGGAUUCCAAAGCAUUACCCUGAAAACAUCUGUAAAAGAUGUUUAUUCCAUUCUCUUCUUUUUUCUUUAUAGAGGAGAUUAAGAGGAGGAAAACAACAAUAACAAUGGUUAAGGACAAGGAAAAGAUAAUAGCCAAAAUCGUGACACGAUCUAAA